Molecule: unclassified non-coding RNA, 210 nt
Filed under: Hevea brasiliensis (rubber tree)
Lineage: Eukaryota; Viridiplantae; Streptophyta; Magnoliopsida; Malpighiales; Euphorbiaceae
Source: RNAcentral
GGAAUAAGCCUUUUUAUCUCUGUUGCACAUAUAAACUUAUGCUAGUUGGGAGCAAAGAUAACCUGAAAACAUUUAUUGGUGCAUUUUUCUACCCGUCUCAUAAACAAUAAAAUCAAGGCUCUCAAACACUAAACUAAGAGACAGUACUAGAACACAAAACCAGCACUUUAACUUUAUAAUACUGACCUUUCACAACAAGUUGGCACAUGC